AUGAUGACUACUCAUGUGUUAGUACUGCCUGACUUUGAGCAACAAUUUUGCAUUGAAACAGAUGCAUGUGCUAUAGGAAUUGGAGUUGUACUCACUCAAGGAGGCCAUCCUGUUUCUUUUUAUAGCAAAGCUUUGGGCGUCAAGAAUCAGUCGUUGUCUACCUACGAAAAAGAAUUUCUAGCAAUUAUGAUGGCGGUUGAGAAGUGGAGAGCUUAUUUGCAGAGAGGUCCCUGUAUUAUCAAAACUGACCAUCAAAGUUUGUGUCAACUGGAAAAUCAGGUACUUACAACAGAUGUCCAGAAGAAGGCCAUGACCAAGCUUGUGGGGCUGCAGUUUCAAUUUCAAUAUAAGAAAGGCACGGACAAUGUAGCAGCGGAUGCUUUAUCCAGGGUGGGGCACUUACUAGCAGUGACCACUACUUCUACUAGCCAACCUGUGUGGCUACAGGAAGUGAUUAACUCCUAUGAAGUGGAUCCUGAGGCACAGGCACUGCUCCAGAAGUUGGCUAUUUCUGAUAACGAUACAACAGAGUAUUCCUUGGAAAAGGGUGUCAUCAAACAUCAGGGCAGAAUUUGGAUUGGAGCAAAUCAAGCUCUAAAAACUAAACUGAUUUUUGCUUUUCAUGCAAGUGUUGUGGGAGGGCAUUCUGGCAUUCAAGCUACAUAUUACAGAAUUCGAAAACUGUUUGUGUGGACUGGGUUGAAGCAAGACAUAGUUGAUUUUGUCCAUCAGUGUGCUGUCUGUCAGCAAGCAAAACAUGAACAUGUUAAAUCCCCAGGUUUACUUCAACCACUUCCUGUCCCUGAAGGGCCUUGGCAAGAAAUCACCAUGGAUUUUAUUGAAGCUCUACCCAAAUCAGAAGGUUAUACAGUGAUUUUGGUGGUGGUGGAUAGACUGACCAAGUAUGCUCAUUUUAUCCCGUUGAAGCAUCCCUUUUCUGCUCCAGUCGUCGCCAAAGCCUUCCUACAUACUGUGGUAAAACUUCAUGGACCACCUCGUACCAUUGUGUCAGACAGAGACAAGAUUUUCACUAGCCAUUUCUGGAAAGGUUUGUUCAAACUAUGGCAUACUAAGUUGCUUAUGAGCACUGCUUAUCACCCUCAAACAGAUGGCCAGAGUGAAAGAGUAAACCAAUGCUUGGAGAUGUUUUUAAGGUGUGUAGUCCAUGAUACUCCAACAAAGUGGCAUGCUUGGUUGCCUUUGGCUGAAUUCUGGUAUAAUACCAAUUUUCAUUCAGCUCUGGAGUGCUCCCCUUUCAAGGCUCUGUAUGGCUAUGAACCUACAUAUGGUGUGUUUCCCACUUUGCUUCAAUCAGACAAGAUAGAUGUGGAACAGUGGCUCAGGGACCAUCAAACACACACUGCGGUGUUGAAAGCACACUUACUCAAGGCUCAGGCUAAGAUGAAGCACUAUGCUGACAAGAAUAGGACACCUAGGGUCUUCUCUGUGGGUGAGGCAGUCUACUUGAAAUUACAACCUUAUGCACAACACUCUGUGGUGAAUAGACCCUGUGCAAAACUGGCCUACAAGUACUAUGGACCAUUUGAAAUAUUGGAGCAAAUUGGCCCUGCCGUGUACAAGCUUCAACUGCCUACAGAAGCUCAAAUUCAUCCAGUUUUCCAUGUGUCUCAACUUAAAGAGUUUGUGCCAGACCAUACACCAGUUUUCACUACUUUACCUGUUCCAGUUGACCUCUCCAGUCUCGAUGUGGCGCCAGGCUCUAUUUUGGAUAGAAAAUUGGUGAAGAGGGGCGAUACUACUCUUUUGCAUGUUCUGAUACAGUGGAUAGGGUUACCUGUGGAAGCGGCUACUUGGGAGAACUAUGACACCAUCAAGAUACGCUACCCUACUGCUCCAGCCUGGGGACAGGCUGAAACUCAAGCGGGAGGCAAUGUCAGCGCUAGUACCCUACCACUAACAAGCAUCAAGGAUGGAGAGGCUGGGCCAUCGACUGACUGA
This 1959-nucleotide ribosomal RNA is filed under the name Triticum aestivum (bread wheat). RNAcentral describes it as "partial small subunit ribosomal RNA". The record is from RNAcentral. Lineage: Eukaryota; Viridiplantae; Streptophyta; Magnoliopsida; Poales; Poaceae.